RNAcentral lists this ribosomal RNA (466 nucleotides) under uncultured bacterium. RNAcentral describes it as "partial 16S ribosomal RNA". It matches the Rfam family "Bacterial small subunit ribosomal RNA", at positions 28 to 507 of the family's 1533-position model. The record is from RNAcentral.
GAUGAACGCUGGCGGCGUGCUUAACACAUGCAAGUCGAACGAUGAAGCCCAGCUUGCUGGGUGGAUUAGUGGCGAACGGGUGAGUAACACGUGAGUAACCUGCCCUUAACCCUGGGAUAAGCCUGGGAAACUGGGUCUAAUACCGGAUAGGAGCGUCCACCGCAUGGUGGGUGUUGGAAAGAUUUAUCGGUUUUGGAUGGACUCGCGGCCUAUCAGCUUGUUGGUGAGGUAAUGGCUCACCAAGGCGACGACGGGUAGCCGGCCUGAGAGGGUGACCGGCCACACUGGGACUGAGACACGGCACAGACUCCUACGGGAGGCAGCAGUGGGGAAUAUUGCACAAUGGGCGCAAGCCUGAUGCAGCGACGCCGCGUGAUGGAUGACGGCCUUCGGGUUGUAAACCUCUUUCAGUAGGGAAGAAGCGAAAGUGACGGUACCUGCAGAAGAAGCACCGGCUAAAUACGUG